GUCUCCGUAGCAUAGUGGUAGUGCGUUCGCUUCGUAAGUGAAAGUUCGCGAGUUUAAUUCUCGCGGGGGCU
This 71-nucleotide transfer RNA is filed under the name Jatropha curcas. It matches the Rfam family "tRNA". From Rfam's summary of the family: Transfer RNA (tRNA) molecules are approximately 80 nucleotides in length. Their secondary structure includes four short double-helical elements and three loops (D, anti-codon, and T loops). Further hydrogen bonds mediate the characteristic L-shaped molecular structure. tRNAs have two regions of fundamental functional importance: the anti-codon, which is responsible for specific mRNA codon recognition, and the 3' end, to which the tRNAs corresponding amino acid is attached (by aminoacyl-tRNA synthetases). tRNAs cope with the degeneracy of the genetic code in two manners: having more than one tRNA (with a specific anti-codon) for a particular amino acid; and 'wobble' base-pairing, i.e. permitting non-standard base-pairing at the 3rd anti-codon position. The record is from Rfam by way of RNAcentral. Lineage: Eukaryota; Viridiplantae; Streptophyta; Magnoliopsida; Malpighiales; Euphorbiaceae.